AUAUACACUCGUAUAAAUAAACACUCACCUGAGAAGCAGCCAGUGCAUCUAAGACUGUCACAAUGAAAUCCAUAUUCUACAUCGCGAUAAUCGCAUUGAUGUUUGCUGCGUAUGUGUCUGCUUGGAAUACUGAAGACAAUGAGGUUCCAUAUACGGCCGCGCCUCAAGAUUAUUAUAUUCCAUCAUAGAGACCCGUGAAUCGAAAAGCGUCUCGGAAUGCCUGGGGUCAGUCUUAAUUACUCUUAUAAAAAACAACGUCUGUGGCGAGCUGUCAAGCUGUCAUGUCGUAAAAUCAGCUGCUAAUUCUAAAAUUUGUUAUUUUUGUUAAAAACUUUGUAAAUUAGUAUAAUUAAGAGUAAAUAAUUGUUGAUUGUUAUCAAUUAUAUGUAUAAAAACACAAUUAGUGAAACCAAACCAAUUGCAAAUACGACAUUACUUGAAACCAAGUGACGGAAGAUUGCUGUUUGAAGGAACUUCAAAUUUCAACGACUAAAACCCGGGGAGUAUUGUAUUUUAUUUGACUCAUAUUGUAUAAAUGCUAUUAUUUGACGUAAAUUGUAUAAACAUUACCCCAAUAAUUAUUUUUUUCAUAAAUCACACUUCAAUAUUACUUUUACUAUUAAUUACGAUUUACGAUAAUUUUAAAUUGGCAAUUAAAAAAGAUAAUAUUUUUUGAAAUAACAGUGGCGUGUUAUAUUAUGAUAAGAAAAAAUCAAUACAACAAAUGGAUUAUGUGCCUUAGAGUUAAUUCGAUGUGCUGAUUUAUUGUUAUUUUUAUUACACACGCUUCUGUUAAUAAUAAUCAUCAGUUUGAAUUAUAUAAGUACUAAUCUCGGUAGGUAGGUAACUAACUGCCAAUUAUAAGGUAGUUUGAAAUACCCAAUAUCAUUAUAAUAUCAAUAUUGCUGAUAACGUAUCUCAAAAAUUUGGUGUUCCUUAUAAUUGCUUCUCAUUAUCUUUGAUACUACUGAAUACUUUCGCUGGUGGUCAUCAAUUAUAAUUUGCUUAUUGCUUUCUAUUGCCAUGUUUGACACUACCUAAUAAAUAACAUCAAACAUUUAAA
Long non-coding RNA from Bicyclus anynana (squinting bush brown), 1063 nucleotides. RefSeq lists it as uncharacterized. The record is from RefSeq and is a predicted model, not a curated record. The transcript has 2 exons. Lineage: Eukaryota; Metazoa; Arthropoda; Insecta; Lepidoptera; Nymphalidae.